CCGAGAGCUGAAGCUGGUGGCUCCCAGUGAGUUCCUCAACAGUCAGGACAACUCAUCAGCUGAGCCCCA
RNAcentral lists this microRNA precursor (69 nucleotides) under Chlorocebus sabaeus (green monkey). RNAcentral describes it as "miRNA (ENSCSAG00000022421.1)". Lineage: Eukaryota; Metazoa; Chordata; Mammalia; Primates; Cercopithecidae. The record is from RNAcentral.